Molecule: ribosomal RNA, 464 nt
Filed under: uncultured bacterium
Lineage: Bacteria
Description: partial 16S ribosomal RNA
Rfam family: Bacterial small subunit ribosomal RNA
Source: RNAcentral
UGGGGAAUUUUGGACAAUGGGCGAAAGCCUGAUCCAGCAAUGCCGCGUGUGUGAAGAAGGCCUUCGGGUUGUAAAGCACUUUUGUCCGGAAAGAAAUCCUUGGCUCUAAUACAGUCGGGGGAUGACGGUACCGGAAGAAUAAGCACCGGCUAACUACGUGCCAGCAGCCGCGGUAAUACGUAGGGUGCAAGCGUUAAUCGGAAUUACUGGGCGUAAAGCGUGCGCAGGCGGUUUGCUAAGACCGAUGUGAAAUCCCCGGGCUCAACCUGGGAACUGCAUUGGUGACUGGCAGGCUAGAGUAUGGCAGAGGGGGGUAGAAUUCCACGUGUAGCAGUGAAAAUGCGUAGAGAUGUGGAGGAAUACCGAUGGCGAAGGCAGCCCCCUGGGCCAAAUACUGACGCUCAUGCACGAAAAGCGUGGGGAGCAAAACAGGAUUAGAUACCCUGGUAGUCCACGCCCUAAAA